Molecule: ribosomal RNA, 406 nt
Filed under: uncultured bacterium
Lineage: Bacteria
Description: partial 16S ribosomal RNA
Rfam family: Bacterial small subunit ribosomal RNA
Source: RNAcentral
AUUGAACGCUGGCGGCAGGCCUAACACAUGCAAGUCGAACGAGUGGCGGACGGGCGAGUAGGGGCUGGGAAAGUGGCUGAUCGAGGGAGAUAACGAGUGUAACCGGUGGCUAAUACCGCUUACCAUCGGUUGUGCCGAGGUGGGAUUAGCUAGUGGGUGGGGUAACGGCUCACGUCGGCGACGAUCCCUAGCUGGGCUGAGAGGAUGACCAGCCACACUGGAACUGAGACACGGUCCAGACUCCUACGGGAGGCAGCAGUGGGGAAUAUUGCACAAUGGGCGCAAGCCUUAUGGAGCCAUGCCGCGUGUAUGAAGAAGGCCUUCGGGUUGUAAAGUACUUUCAGCGAGGAGGCGUUACUCGAAGAAGAAGCACCGGCUAACUCCGUGCCAGCAGCCGCGGUAAUUC